Molecule: transfer RNA, 74 nt
Filed under: [Bacteroides] pectinophilus
Lineage: Bacteria; Bacillati; Bacillota; Clostridia; Eubacteriales
Also listed under: 1 other name
Description: tRNA-Asp
Rfam family: tRNA
About the family: Transfer RNA (tRNA) molecules are approximately 80 nucleotides in length. Their secondary structure includes four short double-helical elements and three loops (D, anti-codon, and T loops).
Source: RNAcentral
GGCCUGGUGGCUCAGUUGGUUAGAGCGCCGCCCUGUCACGGCGGAGGUCAUGGGUUCGAACCCCAUCCGGGUCG